AGAGGUUUUCUUUGAGGAAAAUAUUAUUCCUUAAUUCCAUUAUCCUAAAUUUUAAUUUAAAGAUUGGAAUAGCGUAUCCAUAUGUAUUAAAUUCUAUAUAAAAAUCUCAUUUGAAAUCUAAAUAAAUUUGAACAGCUAGCUAGCUUAAUCUUCCUCCUAACUAGACUGAAUUUAUACGUAUACUACAUCAAUAAUGCUUAUGU
RNAcentral lists this long non-coding RNA (203 nucleotides) under Carica papaya (papaya). RNAcentral describes it as "long non-coding RNA (CPAP_LNC001313)". The record is from RNAcentral. Lineage: Eukaryota; Viridiplantae; Streptophyta; Magnoliopsida; Brassicales; Caricaceae.